UUGGAAUCGAUGCAUUGGUUAAUGUUUUUUUAACACACAGCUGGGAUGGUGAUCUCAAAAAGAACAAAUAUAUUUCACCAAUUGGGCAGGAAAAAUUAAACAUCAAUAUUAAAAACUUCUAGCUAUAUUUACAUGAAAGAUAGAAACAAAACUUCUAGUAGGGCCUUCUCAUAAACCACUAAUUCCAUAUACGAGCAUACAUGUUAAUCCUGGACUGGUUUCCAAACUGAAAGAGCGUAGAUAACUCUCCCUUUCCAUCCCUGUAGCAUCCACCCGCCAUCCUCAUCAACUACAAAAUCCUUGUGAUACUCUGAUCUCACAGUAGAUCUCACUUUCUUCAAAAUUUCUUGAUCUAAUAAAAGCUGCCUGAACCCAGCUCUUAUAUUUCGAACCUGCCACUGUCUGUAUGUCUCAGGCCUUUCAACCCUCUCAGUACCCUCACAUGCUAUGACAUUCAUAAUAUCUCUUCCAAAUAUUUCUUUCUCAUACAGCAAUCUUUGCUCAUCUUCGCAAGGCACGUUAACGUCAAACAUAUCAAACAUGGAAGAGAAGUGGAAUAGUGCCUCUCGAAACCGAGUGACGAAGAAUGGAGCAUUAUAGGUACCAUUAACAACUCCAUGGAUAAAUAAGUCUGGUUUGAUUCUCCUGAUCAAUUCUAAGACAGCAUCUCUUGCACUGUUUGCUACAACUGUGUCAUCAGGGAGAUUCCUUAACCGAUGCAAACAGUUGACAACAGUCAUCUCAUCUCUGUUGAUGUUGAGAUCCUCGUACUUGAUGGUUUCCCAUUUCUGUGCUAUGACAUUAUACUCAAAUGGGACGUUAAACCUCUCACAAUAUCUUCGUAAGCGACGGCCAGUCUCCUCGACCCUUUCAGCAGGGCGAAAACCAGGUUGAGGGAGCUCAAUUCCAGUAAUUCGCAACUUUGGAGGUCCACCAGGCCUUUGUGAGAGGCGCUGGAUGAGGCAAGGCCAUUGAAAACCAUAGAGAAUGCCAAAAUCAAUAAUGUGGAGCCUAGUUGCUUUCUGUGCUAGUUUGAAAAUUGUCUGAUUAGCAAAGAAAUUUGACAUUCGCUUGAAUGGGCAUGCCUUAACAUACACCUGGUAAGCUUUUAAGAUAUCAGAAACUGGUGUCUUGUUGCUUACAAGCGGCGUAUAUUUAGGCGUACUGGUACCAGCCAAACGUGUCUCAAGGGCCUUGGAGAAGUAAUAUGCUAAUCUUUGGUUUCCAUCCCCAUAAACUGAAGAAUGUUGCCCAAUCUGCCUAAGUAGCUCUGUUGCAGUCCUUUGGUCACUGAUUGCCACAGCUUGUGCACACUGUGUUAGCAGAGUUGGCAAAUCCACCACUUCUCCUUUGUUUCCCUGUCUCCUUCCUCGCGUCGUUCUGCCAUUAGAUCCUUUACCCUGCCCAUUCCGGCUUGCUCCAUUCUGUGACUUUUCAUGAAGAGCACGUGCUUCAGACUUGCUGUUUUCACUUGGACAAAGCAAUACCUUAUCAAACAUCUCUGACUGCUCAGACUCUGCGAGAGAAAUAGCAGAAUGCUUGUUGCUCCUCUCUUCUUCUAAAUAAUCACCAUCCUCACGUUGAUGAUUUUUCCGUCCCCGUGAACUAUUCGGUGAGGAAUCUCUCUCAGUUUCUGGGCUGCUCUUUGGUGCCAAUACCAAAGAAUCACCAUCUCCUAUCCGUUGCCUGACCACUGUUAACGGGUGUAUAUCACUCUGGAAAUAUGGUCCUAGAAGGGUACUUUCAGGGGAGUCAAUAAGAGAACUUUGGAUUCCAUGUAAAUCUAAAUCAACUCGAUCAAAAAUCCAAUUUGAAUUUUCAACUGAAGUAUUAACAGCAGCUGGAUAGCUCUUGCUGCUAUCAACACUGCUACUCCAAGGUGAAUUAUCAACAGGACUUUCAACAUUUUGAGAACAGUGAUCCAAGGAGUGGGGAUAUUCCUGACCAAGGACAUCAUACAAGGAUUUCUCUGCAGCUUGGAGGGCCAAACAGUCCUGCAACAUACAGGUCUUGCCCUCUAAGUCCUCUUCCAUAAGCAUAUCGCUUAUGUACUUGAGAACAACAUUAUUAUUUGGAUCAUGUCCUUCUGAGCUCAAGGAUGAAGGAGAAGAUGAUGUCAAGUCAUUAGGAGGUUGUGGAUCAAAUGAAGGAACGGGGGAAUAAGGAUUACUCAAGUUAUUAUUGAGCUCAUAUCCAUUAAGAAGAUUUCUAUUUGGAGAGAAAGAAACGGGGUAAUGGUCGAAAUUGAAUCUAUUCAUGGAAUUAGGAAAUUCUUGAAGAAGGGUAUCCAUCAAGAACAACAACACUUCCUUCGGGUUCCCAAGCAAUUUCAGGAAAAGCAAUUAUAACAAGAUAAGAAAUCUAUGGCUCAGGUCAAUUUCCCAGAUAAAUUUAAAAUAAAUAAAUUUUAAAAAAGAAAUUAUUAGUCUUGACCUAUGUUAUAACAUUCGAGUAGAUCUCAGUUGAGUAAAUGUGCAAGAAACGAUAAAGAACCCAUAAAACCAGUUGAACAAGUGAGAAAAUCCAGAAUCUUGCAAAAAAAGAUUGGAGAGAGAGGAAUAUACAACAGAGAUUACAAAGUCAGAACCCAAAAAAAAAGUGCUCGACCUAAACAGUUGGGUAUUUUUUUUUUACCUGAAUAAAUGUGCAAUAAACAAAAUACAAAGAGAAAAAUUGGAGCUAAAUACUAUAUGUAUAUAUAUAUCUAAAAAUAGAAAAAGAUGAACAGAUGAUUUUUUUUUUGGUGGACGAUGAAAUAAAAAUUUAAAGAAAGGUAAAGAAUCCCCAGUGAGACCAGAGCUUUAGAUAGAGAUGCUAUCUAUGAGGCAUGAGAGAGUAAAGGCCCUUAUUUAAAAGAGAAACUGGAAAGCGAAAACCUAGAGAGAGGAAACUUCUGGGAAAGUCUGUUAAAGAUAGACAAAAGCAGCCGCCAGCCUAUACCACUAAUACCCAUGCUGGGUUGGCUUUUCUUUCAGACAGUGAUUAGUGCAACGU
RNAcentral lists this unclassified non-coding RNA (2994 nucleotides) under Hevea brasiliensis (rubber tree). The record is from RNAcentral. Lineage: Eukaryota; Viridiplantae; Streptophyta; Magnoliopsida; Malpighiales; Euphorbiaceae.